UACAGAGGGUGCUAGCGUUGUUCGGAAUCAUUGGGCGUAAAGGGCGUGUAGGCGGUUUGUUAAGUCAUGUGUGAAAGCCCCCGGCUCAACCGGGGAACGGCGCAUGAAACUGGCAAGCUAGAGUACCGAAGAGGGGGGUGGAACUGCGAGUGUAGAGGUGAAAUUCGUAGAUAUUCGCAAGAACACCAGUGGCGAAGGCGGCUCACUGGACCGGCAUUGACGCUGAGGUGCGAAAGCGUGGGGAGCAAACAGG
RNAcentral lists this ribosomal RNA (253 nucleotides) under uncultured bacterium. RNAcentral's name for it is "partial 16S ribosomal RNA". It matches the Rfam family "Bacterial small subunit ribosomal RNA", at positions 524 to 776 of the family's 1533-position model. The record is from RNAcentral.